RNAcentral lists this long non-coding RNA (293 nucleotides) under Ananas comosus (pineapple). RNAcentral's name for it is "long non-coding RNA (ACOM_LNC010472)". Lineage: Eukaryota; Viridiplantae; Streptophyta; Magnoliopsida; Poales; Bromeliaceae. The record is from RNAcentral.
CUCUAAACAUCUAUACUUUGGACCUUUUUGUUGGAACAAAUACCGCAACAAAAAUCUGAUUGUAAUUAAAAUCUAACUAAUUUUGUAAUAAAGAUAAAAUCAAACUUACGGAUGACGCAAAUAUUCCAAUAAAGAUUUAAUCUUAUCCGGAAGCGUGCGAAGCACUGCCCUAAGAUGUAUUCCCGUCCUUACGUGCGGGAUUAACCGGAAAUAACACCCCAAGAUACAACCAGAAUUCCUCAUCCUGCGAGCACGAUCGUGAAGGAGGUUGACGGAGAUUCUCAACACCCAGU